AUGGAUAGUGUGGACGUACCAGGAGAGGACUUCAUCCCUCUGACUGUUCUGCGCACCACAAUACCUCCUCACACCCCUGCCAGCUACCGAACUACUAUUCCUGGUUACACUGGAAAAGCCCGGUUUGACAGACCACAGACCUCAGGUGUCAGUCUGCCUUCUUUACCAUAUACUCCACAAACAGCAGGCUCUUCAACACUCUCCAGCAUGUGGCUCUGACUGGAGGUGUGUGAACAGUGUCUUACAGCAUCACUUAGUAGAACCCACCAUGAUGUGUAUGGCUGAACAAAGUUCAGGUCAUCUUAUAAAGCAG
Molecule: long non-coding RNA, 313 nt
Filed under: Sinocyclocheilus anshuiensis
Lineage: Eukaryota; Metazoa; Chordata; Actinopteri; Cypriniformes; Cyprinidae
Description: lncRNA (ENSSANG00000052353.1)
Source: RNAcentral